GAUGAACGCUGGCUACAGGCUUAACACAUGCAAGUCGAGGGGAAACGACGGGGAAGCUUGCUUCCCCGGGCGUCGACCGGCGCACGGGUGAGUAACGCGUAUCCAACCUGCCUCUGACUGAGGGAUAACCCGUCGAAAGUCGGCCUAAUACCUCAUGGCAUCGUCUGCGGGCAUCCAACGACGAUUAAAGAUUUCAUCGGUCAGGGAUGGGGAUGCGUCUGAUUAGCUUGUUGGCGGGGUAACGGCCCACCAAGGCUACGAUCAGUAGGGGUUCUGAGAGGAAGGUCCCCCACAUUGGAACUGAGACACGGUCCAAACUCCUACGGGAGGCAGCAGUGAGGAAUAUUGGUCAAUGGGCGGGAGCCUGAACCAGCCAAGUAGCGUGCANGAAGACGGCCCUAUGGGUUGUAAACUGCUUUUAUGCGGGGAUAAAGUGAGGGACGUGUCCUUCAUUGCANGUACCGCAUGAAUAAGGACCGGCUAAUUCCGUGCCAGCAGCCCGCGUAAUACGGAAAGGUCUGGCCGUAUCCGGAUUUAUUGGGUUUAAGGGAGCGUAGGCCGUGGAUAAGCGUGUUGUGAAAUGCAGGUGCUCAACGUCUGCACUGCAGCGCGAACUGGUCCACUAGAGUGUGCGCAACGCAGGCGGAAUUCGUCGUGUAGCGGUGAAAUGCUUAGAUAUGACGAAGAACUCCGAUUGCGAAGGCAGCCUGCGGGAGCACAACUGACGCUGAAGCUCGAAAGUGCGGGUAUCGAACAGGAUUAGAUACCCUGGUAGUCCGCACGGUAAACGAUGGAUGCCCGUUGUCAGGCUGUUUCAGCCUGGUGACCAAGCGAAAGCAUUAAGCAUCCCACCUGGGGGGUACGCCGGCAACGGUGAAACUCAAAGGAAUUGACGGGGGCCCGCACAAGCGGAGGAACAUGUGGUUUAAUUCGAUGAUACGCGAGGAACCUUACCCGGGCUUGAAUUGCAGACGAACGAUUCAGAGAUGAUGAGGCCUUUCGGGGCGUCUGUGAAGGUGCUGCAUGGUUGUCGUCAGCUCGUGCCGUGAGGUGUCGGCUUAAGUGCCAUAACGAGCGCAACCCCUUUCUUCAGUUGCCAUCAGGUGAUGCUGGGCACUCUGUAGACACUGCCACCGCAAGGUGUGAGGAAGGUGGGGAUGACGUCAAAUCAGCACGGCCCUUACGUCCGGGGCUACACACGUGUUACAAUGGCCGGUACAGAGAGUUGAUUUUGUGCAAACACGAUCCAAUCCUUAAAUCCGGUCCCAGUUCGGACUGGGGUCUGCAACCCGACCCCACGAAGCUGGAUUCGCUAGUAAUCGCGCAUCAGCCAUGGCGCGGUGAAUACGUUCCCGGGCCU
This 1360-nucleotide ribosomal RNA is filed under the name uncultured bacterium. RNAcentral describes it as "bacterial SSU rRNA". It matches the Rfam family "Bacterial small subunit ribosomal RNA", at positions 28 to 1381 of the family's 1533-position model. The record is from RNAcentral.